GGGUGGAGCAGCCUGGUAGCUCGUUGGGCUCAUAACCCAAAGGCCGAGGGUUCAAGUCCUCCCCACCA
RNAcentral lists this transfer RNA (68 nucleotides) under Nitrospirales bacterium. Its description in RNAcentral is "tRNA-Met". It matches the Rfam family "tRNA", at positions 6 to 65 of the family's 71-position model. From Rfam's summary of the family: Transfer RNA (tRNA) molecules are approximately 80 nucleotides in length. Their secondary structure includes four short double-helical elements and three loops (D, anti-codon, and T loops). Lineage: Bacteria; Pseudomonadati; Nitrospirota; Nitrospiria; Nitrospirales. The record is from RNAcentral.